Molecule: non-coding RNA, 843 nt
Organism: Arachis ipaensis
Lineage: Eukaryota; Viridiplantae; Streptophyta; Magnoliopsida; Fabales; Fabaceae
Source: RefSeq, a predicted model, not a curated record
CAACAAGGGAAAGACUUCCUCUUUCGACGUCGCAGAGAAGAGAAGAAGAAAACAACGGUGAAGAAACAAAGAACGACGAAAGAAAGAGAAGAGGGUGGCGACGACAGCGACUAUCACAGAGAAGGAUGUUAGAUCGACAGAAAAAAGAAGAGAAAUGAGGCGACGGCGGUGAUGGAUGCCACCGCCGCUAUUGGAUUCGUAGAACCGUGUCCAUUUACCUAUCAAGAGGCAUUCUGCAGAGUGAUUCAUUUGAGAUGUGGAGUAUACACAAAUCAAUUUGUGGCUCAAAAUACCUAGACAUAUCACCAGUGAAAAAGUAGGAGAAAUUCACUGGUGAUGGAAGCAGUAACUGACAGAGAAGAUAGAGAAUGUGUAUUUUCGACCUGCAGAAAGUCCUAGCCCUAACCUUGCACACUUUGCCCUUCUUCAGAGAUGGUGUCAAGUUUUAGAUGGAAUAAAUUGAAAAAGCUAAAUCAGCUCUGGCUAAGAAUGAGGCUGGGCUUUCAAAAUUGAUAAAAGAAGAAAGCACACUUAAAGAUAUUGUGCAAUAGCUAAGUGGCAUCCUUUUUCUUUCAUGCUACUCAUGACUGACUCUGAACUUGAAUGUAAUGAAAAACGGCUGCCAGAUGCACCAGACAGGACACCGGCUGCCAAUAUUAAAGGUAGCUGAAGCAUUGCAUUUUUAGGCCUCGAUGAAAAACGCAACAAAUGCUAUGGAGUCACGCAUUUUUGACUUUUUUGGAUCACUUAAUGCAUUGCAAUAUAGAAGGAUGGAUUUUGAUGAGUUUCGUACAGCUACACUCAGUGUUCAUCAACUUGAAGCACUUGAUAGGUGGGAGCAAC